AUAAACCUUUGCUACUGCAGGUGUUAGAAAAGCACCUAACUGAUGACUAGAUCUAUAUUACCUGAUUACCUUCCAGCUGACUGGAGAUGUCCCAGAGCCAUCCUAAAAAAAAGGGUUAAAAAAAGGGUUGGGCUAUAAAAAAAACUAUUGAACUAUAACAUAACAUCUGAGAUUUUCUUUGUAAACUAAGGUGAGAACUGUAUGCAGGACUAUCUAGGUGCCACUACUGCUUGUAGCACUUUCCUGCCAAAAGCCCCUUCUGCAGAGGCAAGGGUUUACCUGGAAUGUUCCAGAUAUUGUGCAUCUUGUUAAGAAAGCACCUAACUGAAGAUUAGGUAUAUAUUGCCUGAUUACCUUCCAGCUCAUGCAGCUUAAUAGAUUUACCUACAGUAUGCAAGUUAAAUCACCUCUUGUUAACAGAGGAGACCUAAACUGAAUCAUAAGUCUGUAUUGCCUGAUCUUCCAGCUGACUCAUCUUUCGAUUUGCCUGCAGUGUGCAAGGUGUGUUUAACCACAACAUAUGUUGUAUGCAAAGUACGGGUCAUUAUUACAAUGACCGCUGGCAGGUCUGGACUGGGAGUCAAAAUAGGCCCUGACAUUCCAAUACACAGAGGCCCAAUCAGCUCCUCACCAGCCCACUAAAUAGUGACUUUCUACGGCAUCUUAUGGCAGCCCGUCUGGCAUUUUCCAGAAUCCCGAGAUUGCCAGUCCGUGCCUGCGCUGCAGCACGUAAAUAUGAUGUGCAUCAAGACAAUGCAUCACCUUGUAAUGUUGUUUUGAUAUCUUUAAACUUUCUGUAGUUCAUCUUUAGCACUAUUUGUUGUAGUCCAGCCAAUUCAACACGAUAUGUUGUAUAUAGUUUCAUCAACUUGUUAGCUAUCUUGUUAGUUGGUCUUCUAUAGGCAUUUUUACACAAUGCUAUCUUGUCUAGUACUUUACACUGUAUAUUCGGACCAAGACCAAGAUUGCAAUACGAUUUAUUAAUUACUGAACUCAUAUCCCUCCAACACCUGUAAAUCAGUGACAGAUAUAUUAUAAGCAUGCCUUUUUCUUGCAAUAUGCUUUGACACCGUAACAUCAGAUUGUGAACACUAAUACAUUAUAACUCCAUGUUUGUAUGCUCUGGGGGACGCCAAGCUGAAACUUAUUUAUAUAAUAAAACCAUACGAUCUUAAGGGUCAUGGGCAGCAUUCAUUGUGAGACCGGGGUAUCUGGCAUCCACCGGGGUUACAACGUCCUGGUCCCCUGUAAUAUCAAGGGCAAGUGCUGCUGCCGUCAAGCCAGCCUGCAUCCGAGGGCCCCACUGGGGUUUUACUGUUGUACUGCCAGCCCAAUGCGAGUGCCAGCUUUGCAUGUAAUCCUCCUUCUAUUAUCUAGUUGCCAUCCCUGCGAGCUUGUUACCCGAGUCAAGGUUCUCAUGGCAGAGAUAGCCAUGCUAAAAUUUGCUCAGCAUCUGAGCCUUUAAUACUGUGAUUUCUUAAUACUGCUUUCUUGAGUUUAUACAUACAGUUAGAAAUGUAUGCUAGAAAGGAAGGUGGGUAAUUUGAAACAUCACAGUUGUAACAAACAAUGAAAAGUGUAGGUACAUUUUUCUGGAUAAGGGGUCUUUUUGUAAUUUAGAUCUACAUACCCCAAGUCUCCUAAAAAUCAUUUAAAAAUGAGUUAAACCUAAUAGUAUUGAUUUGCCUUCCAUAAGGAUUAAUUCUCUUAAUUGGGAUCAAGUACAAAGUACUGUUUUAUUUCAGAGAAAAGGGAAAAUUAUUUUUAAAAAUAGGAAUUAUUUCUUUAAAAUGGAGUCUGAGAGAUUGCCUUUCUUUAAGUCUGAGCUUCCUGGAUACUGGAUUUCUGAAUAACAGAUCCCAUAUUUGUACAAUAAGUGCUAUGGUGCAUAAAAGACAACAGCGGACCUAACCAGAUUUCCAAAUGUAGGUGAAAUAUAGUCUGGCAUAAUAAAAAAAUAAUCAGUCAAAGCUAAAACACCUUCUCUGCUAGAAGACAAAUUAAGGAUUUGCUUUGGCCAGACAGGGCUGGAACUUGAGGCAGGCAGAAGAGGAAAGUGCUAGGGUGCAGUGUUGGGUGGGGCACUAGGCAUGCACUCUUUUCUGUCACCUACCCCUAGUCAAGGCCCUUGCACUGCUCCCCCCACAAGCCAUUCCCAGUACCCCCACAUCAGCACAGAGGGGAGUAAGGUGACUAUCCGGGUUAGGCACUUGGUCAGGCACUUGGAUUCAGCUGAAUCCUGGAUUUGGUGCAUCCCUAGAAAGAACACCCUCAUCAGUGUAUAUUUGUUAUGGAGACUUCACCUUCUUUGAAAAGAACAUUUGAUUUUUUAACAUGAAGAUAAAUGAACUUUAAAAUGUUAAAGUAUGCUAUGUGUAUUCAGUCUUUUGUUGUCAAAGAUUAA
Long non-coding RNA from Xenopus laevis (African clawed frog), 2404 nucleotides. RefSeq lists it as uncharacterized. The record is from RefSeq and is a predicted model, not a curated record. NCBI's taxonomy places the organism in Eukaryota, Metazoa, Chordata, Amphibia, Anura, Pipidae. The transcript is spliced from 2 exons.